UUGAAUUUCAAAUGAAGAAUAAAAGAAUAAUUUAGAGACUGAAGCAAUGAUUUGGGAAAAAGUUCUUUAUUUUAUGCUAACCAAAUCCUUAGUCAUCCUUGCCUGUUAUGGCAACUUCACUGUGUUCUAAUUCUCUAACGUUGAUCCCUGUAUUUUUUUUUUUUAGUUUGGACAGGCAGACUUCAUUUAGACUGUUUUGUUAAUUGUAAUUUGUAAGUAGGUGUUUUUGCUAUUUAGACAAUGUAGAGUGAUUCUCAUUAUAACAAUCAGGGAAGUCAGCCAUUUUUAUUUCAAGAAACUUAAGAUGAACGAAAGUAAGAAAGUCUUUUUUAUUAAUUUUAAAUGUAAUUGGUUACCUUAUUUGCAGGUGACAAAAACUAUAUGUCCCAGAGCUUAAAGUAAGAAAGUCUUUUCUAUUUUUGGUAUACAUGGAUGAAUAAGGUUAAUUAUGAAUUACAAUAUAGUAUAAAACUUGCGAAGAGAACCUAGAGCUUAAUUCUUUUAUUUUUCUUAAUUCAAAUGGAGAAUAUAUGCUCUAGACCCAGUUUGAGAUUGCUCUGGACUUUUGAGUUUGUAUCAUAAUAUCCAAAGUCAAUAAUUUGAAAGUUCCUCAGUAAAGGUGAGAAAAGGUUUUAAACACCUGUUUAAGAUUUCAAUCCUAAUUGGGACUUAUUUAUAUACCUUAUUGUGUUUUUUUUACCUCUUUCAAGUGUUUGAUUUGGUCUUUGUUUUCUUUUUUAUUUCAUUUAGGUACUAUUCUAUAUAACAACGUGAAUUCUCCAUACCUGGUCAUUCAAAAGGGUUGCAUGCAUCUUUAAAUACAUUUUAAAUUGAGG
This is a long non-coding RNA of Glycine soja, 836 nucleotides long. RefSeq lists it as uncharacterized. The transcript is spliced from 3 exons. Lineage: Eukaryota; Viridiplantae; Streptophyta; Magnoliopsida; Fabales; Fabaceae. The record is from RefSeq and is a predicted model, not a curated record.